UACGGAGGAUCCGAGCGUUAUCCGGAUUUAUUGGGUUUAAAGGGUGCGCAGGCGGGAGAUUAAGUCGGUGGUGAAAUUUUGCAGCUUAACUGUAACAGUGCCGUUGAUACUGUUUGGCUAGGAUUUGGUUGUAGUGUGCGGAAUGUGUGGUGUAGCGGUGAAAUGCUUAGAUAUCACACAGAACACCGAUUGCGAAGGCAGCACACUAAGUCAUUAUUGACGCUGAGGCACGAAAGUGUGGGGAUCAAACAGGAUUAGAUA
RNAcentral lists this ribosomal RNA (261 nucleotides) under uncultured prokaryote. RNAcentral describes it as "partial 16S ribosomal RNA". It matches the Rfam family "Bacterial small subunit ribosomal RNA", at positions 524 to 784 of the family's 1533-position model. The record is from RNAcentral.